GGAGAGGUGGCCGAGUGGCUGAAGGCGGCGGUUUGCUAAACCGUUAUAGGGCCUAAAAGCCUUAUCGGGGGUUCGAAUCCCCCCCUCUCCG
Gemmatimonadetes bacterium 13_1_40CM_4_69_8 is the source of this 91-nucleotide non-coding RNA. The record is from Rfam. Lineage: Bacteria; Pseudomonadati; Gemmatimonadota.